AGUAAGAAGUCCUAUUUUUAGAAGAUUGGUGUGAAAAUGUCCUUUACAUAUAUUUGUUUGGUCGAGGACAUGGUAGUUUGAUAUCUUGUUGUUUUAGGUGUCUACCUAUAGAGUGGUUGCAGAAUUCUGAAUUUUUCAUUUAUAGGAAAGAUUUUUUAGAUGUCAGCAUAGAGGUUGGUAGGUUUUGAGGACUAAGGAUGUCUUGAGCCCAAGAUUUGAUGCUUGGUAGUUAGGCACUAGCUUGCUUGUAGAGAAGUCAUGA
This 262-nucleotide long non-coding RNA is filed under the name Elaeis guineensis (African oil palm). RNAcentral describes it as "long non-coding RNA (EGUI_LNC074970)". The record is from RNAcentral. Lineage: Eukaryota; Viridiplantae; Streptophyta; Magnoliopsida; Arecales; Arecaceae.